RNAcentral lists this ribosomal RNA (253 nucleotides) under uncultured bacterium. RNAcentral describes it as "partial 16S ribosomal RNA". It matches the Rfam family "Bacterial small subunit ribosomal RNA", at positions 524 to 776 of the family's 1533-position model. The record is from RNAcentral.
GACGUAGGGCGCGAGCGUUGUCCGGAUUUAUUGGGCGUAAAGAGCUCGUAGGCGGCUUGUUGCGUCCGCUGUGAAAACUCGCAGCUCAACUGUGGGCUUGCAGCUGAUACGGGCAGGCUUGAGUUCGGUAGGGGAGACUGGAAUUCCUGGUGUAGCGGUGAAAUGCGCAGAUAUCAGGAGGAACACCGGUGGCGAAGGCGGGUCUCUGGGCCGAUACUGACGCUGAGGAGCGAAAGCGUGGGGAGCGAACAGG